CAAGUUUAGCACUAUGUACCCAGGUUGCAUCGCGGAUUCCAACUUGUUCCGCAACCACAC
This 60-nucleotide transfer RNA is filed under the name Ostreococcus mediterraneus. The record is from RNAcentral. Lineage: Eukaryota; Viridiplantae; Chlorophyta; Mamiellophyceae; Mamiellales; Bathycoccaceae.